UGUCAUCGGACUUACGUAGCGGUGGGAGA
Molecule: small RNA, 29 nt
Filed under: Bombyx mori (domestic silkworm)
Lineage: Eukaryota; Metazoa; Arthropoda; Insecta; Lepidoptera; Bombycidae
Description: ovarian small RNA-35634
Source: RNAcentral